CAGGUCUGGGAGAGGGAGCAGCACUGGCCAGGGGAGGGAGGAUUUUCCUUGGGGAAGUGGCUAAGCUGGAUGAUUUCAAGGAAUUGAGUGAAUCCAGACAGCAGGUGGGGAGAGAGAUUAUCAUCUUACAACUUUUGAUCUCUUAGGGAUUCUUCCCUUUUUUUCCCCUACUUUUUAAGCACGUAAGUCAGAAGCCACACUACCUGUGAUUUUGGCCAAGUCAUUUUAUCUUUCUGUGCCUAUAUGUCAUCUGUCAGUAGGGAUAAUAAAAGCACCUGUCUAGAGUUGUUAUGAGGAUUACAUGAACAGUACCUGCUACAUAGGAAGUGCUAUCCAGGUAUUUGUUGUAAUUAUUUCUUACUUUCCUUACCUCCCUGGAAUUAGCCUGUUCUGCUGAUUUAUUCAUUUCCACAGCGAUUCUUUGAUAAAUUCAUGUGUUUAAUUUUUUUCUGGCCCCAGCUGUUGGAUACAGUCAGGAAGUAGGCAAGAAAUGCCAGCUCCGGAAGCAGAGGGAGAAUAAGAUAGUUAUUCUCUAGUGCCACCCAGGAAUAUGCCACUGAAGUGUUAAUGACAGACUCUUCCCUCUACAGGAGAGUUGUGCUAAACUUUGACGUUUUGUGGUCUUCUGGGGAUUCUGGAAGUAAGGGACCUGCGGUGACUUAACAACAACUGCUGUAUGACAGGAUCAGGAUAAGUGCCUGACCUCGGAAAAUUUAUUUGCUUCUCAGUUUUUAUAUAUAUGCGAGGAGGACUUUAACGUCUGCCCUGUAGGAUUAAAUGAGAUAAAAAGCAUAAAAUGCCUUCUUGGGAGUAAGCAAUCCUUUCUUCACAUGGUCCAUUCUGGUCAACUCACAAAUCCCUGAGAGGGAAGCCUCCAGGAUCCUAGAGUAGAUGACCAGAUGCCCAGGCGCGGGAUCUGCGGAAGUCAAAGUCAAGCUUUCUAGGCCGACAGCUGUCCUCAGUCGCUUGGUCAGAUAGUCUAAUCUCAGUUUUUCAGGUGAGUUCCCUCUUGACUUUCUUCUAGAGUUUUGCGUGUGCCCUGGGGUGGACACCCUCGGAGGAUGGGAGAAACUAUGUACUGCGCCAGGUCGCCUCAGGCCUGCCUUUUCCCUCCAUCCUUCCCCACCCCUCCCCUCUUCCACCCACUUUCUCACACUCCUCCUCUUUUCUCUUUCCUCCCUUUUCCUCCCUCUUCAUCAUCCUCCCUCUUAUUUUUCUUUCCCUUCACUACCCCAUCUCCUGCCUGGCCCUUCUGCACUGGCAGAGUAGACCCUCAGAAACCCUGGGAGGGAGGAUGGCUGGGACAGGCUGAUGUCUUGAGUCCUGUCCUUGGCUGUCUCUGAGGCUCUUAAGACUCCUAAUUACAGGAGUGACUCCGACUUGCUUUUCUGACAGCUAAAUUUCUGAGAGUGGGGUGCAGGAAUGGAGACCUUAUUUUCUCUUGGUCCUGGAUCCUCAGUUCUGCUUUGUGUUGGUUUUCGUUGUUGCUAUUGUUGUUUGUUCAUUUUGUAGAAUAUCAUUCAAUUGGGAUUUAACUGUUUUUGUCAUUAUUAUACUGAGGUUAUAUGUUCUGGGGAGGAAGACCACAGAGGUGAAGUGCCAUUCUCAUUAUAUCAAGGGUGCACACUGUUAACUUAUAACUGUCAAGACAUAAAACAAUUUAUAAGGUGGAAAAAGGCAGAGAGGGGUAAUUAGUGUAAUUUGAGUUGGGAGCAAAAAUUUUAUCAAGUUUAGACACAAAACUGGGUUUGUUCCCAAGAAAGUAGCAGCCAUCCCUUUUCUUAGGAGAGGUGAGGGGUUUAUUCUGUCACAGUUCCAGCAGAGACAAAGGAUCCUUGUUGCUGAGAUACUGUUUAUCAUAGCAACAACAGCUGCAGAAAUAGUCCUGGCAUAGCAAUGAACAGAGCUUUUUUGGUCCCUGUCUCUCUCUUCCAUCUCAAAUAGUAUGGACUUCUGUGGGCAGUAAAACAUACCUGUUAAUGGUGUUAUUGUCAUUUUUCCAAACUUCUUAUCAGUUGAAUUUGUUUCUGUUGCCAUUUCUAUUCCCAUACUCCUUCAUCUGCUCUAUCUGCAAAUCUCUUGCGUUUCUG
RNAcentral lists this long non-coding RNA (2090 nucleotides) under Pan troglodytes (chimpanzee). RNAcentral's name for it is "long non-coding RNA NONPTRT014563". Lineage: Eukaryota; Metazoa; Chordata; Mammalia; Primates; Hominidae. The record is from RNAcentral.